This 103-nucleotide ribosomal RNA is filed under the name uncultured bacterium. RNAcentral's name for it is "partial 16S ribosomal RNA". It matches the Rfam family "Bacterial small subunit ribosomal RNA", at positions 1379 to 1482 of the family's 1533-position model. The record is from RNAcentral.
CGGUGUGUACAAGGCCCGUCACACCACGAAAGUUGGCUCGACCCGAAGUCGCUCACCCAACCGCAAGGAGGGAGGCGCCAACGGUCUGGUCGAUGAUUGGGUG